RNAcentral lists this ribosomal RNA (253 nucleotides) under uncultured bacterium. Its description in RNAcentral is "partial 16S ribosomal RNA". It matches the Rfam family "Bacterial small subunit ribosomal RNA", at positions 524 to 776 of the family's 1533-position model. The record is from RNAcentral.
UACGUAGGGUGCAAGCGUUGUCCGGAAUUAUUGGGUGUAAAGGGCUCGUAGGCGGUCCAUCGCGUCGGGAGUGAAAAGCUGGGGCUUAACCCCAGUCCUGCUUCCGAUACGGGUGGACUAGAGGUAGGUAGGGGAGAUCGGAAUUCCUGGUGUAGCGGUGAAAUGCGCAGAUAUCAGGAGGAACACCGGUGGCGAAGGCGGAUCUCUGGGCCUUACCUGACGCUGAGGAACGAAAGCCAGGGGAGCGAACGGG